AAUGAUUAUUAUAAUUAAAUAGCCGCGGUACCCUGACCGUGCAAAGGUAGCAUAAUCNNNNNNNNNNUAAUUGGUGGCUAGUAUGAAUGGUUUAAUGAGAAUAACACUGUCUCUUUUCUAAUCUAUUGAAACUACCUACUAGGUGAAAAGGCCUAGAUAAUCUUACAAGACAAUAAGACCCUAUCGAGCUUCAGGUUAAAAUCUAUUACAAAACAAAAUAAAAAAGAAAUUAUACCUUUAGUUGGGGCGACUAAGGAACAAACAAAACUUCCUAAAGUAAACAUACUCACAAGUUAUGAUCCGGAAAUAAUCCGACAAAAAAAGCUACCGUAGGGAUANCAGCGUAAUUUUCUUUGUGAGCUCUUAUUAAAAAGAAAGUUUGCGACCUCGAUGUUGGAUUAAGGUAUCUCAAAGACGCAGCAGUCUUUAAAA
This 432-nucleotide ribosomal RNA is filed under the name Cellana orientalis. RNAcentral's name for it is "Cellana radiata orientalis partial 16S ribosomal RNA". It matches the Rfam family "Archaeal large subunit ribosomal RNA", at positions 1957 to 2639 of the family's 2987-position model. The record is from RNAcentral. Lineage: Eukaryota; Metazoa; Mollusca; Gastropoda; Nacellidae.